ACACUCUCCUUGGGCAGGACCUGCUGCAGCUGCUCUCGGGGUUGGAGGGGAGGUUCCUAGGUCAAUGGAGUUGUGUACCUAGGAGGAUUAUGGCUGCCUCUGCUGAGUCAUGCAGAUUGUCAGGAAGUGUGAGAAAGCCAGCAGUCACCGGCCUCACCCAGCCACCCUGCCGCCAUUAACAGCACUAGGCAGGCAGUGCGCAGAGCUGAGAACUUGCCCCAGGUUACCCGCCUCCCAGCUGCUAAACAAAAGGGAGGCUUUUCAGCUGGUUCAAAUUGUUACAAAGUUCAGCUAGAGAUUUGCUUUUACCUGCGGCGUUUUCCCCAUACCACUGGCUGCCCUCCCGAAGAAUUCCUGUGAUGCCAGGCAGGAAUGGCCUGGUUGGAGACCAGCUAGCUCCCAGGGCCUUUCCCGCUGCUUCCUCUACCCCUGUAUUUCGCUGGGCUCUCUAAAUGGAUUCAGCUCCAGAGGAGGAAAACCUUGAGACCCUGAGACUUUCAGAAACUUAUUCACAGUUACCAAAGCUGGCACACGGAUGGAGCUGAAGGCCAUUAUCCUUAGCAAACCAACACAGGAACAGAGAACCAAAUACCGCAUGUUCUCACUUAUACGUGGCAGCUAAAUGAUGAGAACACAUGAACACAUAGAGGAAAACAACACACACUGGGACCUUUUGGAGGAUGGAGGAUGUGAGAAGGGAGAGGAUCAGGAAAAAUAACUCCGACGGGUACUAGGCUUACUAUCUGGAAAAUGUUUGUGGCAGGGAGUGGGACAUCCGGCUUCAGAGCAGGAACUUUCAUUGCACCAGUGAUGAAAAAGAGAAUGAAAUGUGGGUGACGUUGAGAAAGGCAAGAAGAUUUUUGUUCAGAAGUGUGCCCAGUGCCUAAAAGGGAGGCAAGCACAAGACUGGGCCUAACCUCCAUGGUCUCUUUGGGCUGAAGACUGGUCAGGCCAUUGGAUUCUCUUACAAAGAUGCCAGUAAGAACAAAGAGAUCACCUGGGGAGAGGAUACAGUGAUGGAGCAUUUGCAGAAUCCCAAGAACUACAUCCCUGGAACAAAAAUGAUCUUUGCUGGCAUUCAGAAGAAGGCAGAAAGGGCAGACUUGAUAGCUUAUCUCAAAAAAAGCUACUCAUGAGUAAUAAUUGGCCACUGCCUUAUUUAUUACAAAACAGAAAUGUCUCAUGACUUUUCUAUGUGUACCAUACUUUAAUAGAUCUCAUACACCAGAAUUCAGAUCAUGAAUGACUGACAGAAUAUUUUACUGGGCAAUCCUGAUUUAAAACUAAGACUGGCUUGUGGUUAAAUGAAUGUGUUCAGUUUUUGAAUUUUAAUAGUAAUUCCAAUUCAGUAAAUGCUAUCACUGUUUACCCCUUCUAAAGAUAUGAUUAGACUUCACUGGUAAUGUUCAACUUUUCACAAAGAUGGUGACUGCCAUCUUAAAACUUACUGGAUAUUGGUUUAUAUUUAGAUUUCUAUAACUGGUUAUGUGAAUAUAUUUAAAUACUCGGGAAAUUCCUUCACUGUCUCAGAACCAAGCAAGAUUCAUCUGUGUUUUGUGUUCAUUUGCCUCUUAAAGGCAAGGGUUGAAGAUAAAUAAGGUAGCAACGUCUACUUUAUAUUUUUGGCCUUAACUAUGCCAAUCUAAUUAGAAUUCUCUGCAUUUAAACUGGUUCUUUUUACUUACUGAAGGGCAUUUUAGUGUGGUUUAUGUGUAAUAUCAAAGAUUAUUUAACAUUUCUCACAUUUUAUAGAUGAUCUAUAAGGUCACAUGCUUUUAAUAUAGUAGCAAGUUAAACUUCACUCUUGAAUUCUUUACAAUCUAAGUCAAACUAAGUUAUAAUUUAAGAUUGUCUUUAAACAGCCAUUCAGAUACAUAAAACUGUGGAACUGCUCUGUAUUUGUGAUUGUGGAUAGUGCUUUUGCCAACUUAAAAGAAUUAAAGUAGAGGAGAUAUACAUAAAUUUUAAAAUUAUGUGUGAUCAUAAGACUUAAGAUAAUUAAAAAGAAAUUCACAGAUCAUUACAAAAACAUGUUCAUGGCAAAGAAAAGACAUAUUCUAAGUAGAUUAAUAAUUACAGAUGUGUCAAAUAUACAGUUCUAGGAUUUAUGAUGUAGUCAUUAAGUUCAUCAAAUACUAUAAUGAAAUAUGUAAUUUAAUUUAAAUAAUAUUUAGAAAUUAUAUCCAUAUAUUCAACAAGUAAUUAUUAAGUGUAUUUAUGUGCCAGAUACCAUUCUAGGUGCCUGGGAUGCAUCAGUGAACAGAAUACAUCUAGUGCUGCAUGAGGGAGCUUCUUUUUUAGUGAAGGAGGACAUUAGACACAGAUGUAUAAAUGAGUCAUUGAACAAGAUAAUUGCAGGCAGAGAUGGAUUCUAUGAAAGAAAUAAAUCAGGGUGAUGAGAGGGAAAGUGACAGAGAGACAGCUUUAGGUUGGAGGCUAAAGUGAGGCCUUUGAAGAAAUGAUAAUUCAUGUGUGACUUGAAUGACAAGAUAAAAUGUAGAGAGUUAGAGGCUGAGGAUUACAGGCCAAGGAAAUAGCCCUGUGCAUAUGUUGUGAGACAUAGCUCCAAGACAUAGACAUGCAUAGUUUAAUUCAACUUGACUCUUCCAGAAAUGAAUUGAAGGUCGCUAGGCCUGGAGUGUCAGGAAGCAGAGGAGAAGUUGUGAGAGAAGAGUUUGAAGUGAGAUGCCUGUGUCAUUUAAUGAAGCAAAUCACAUGAAAAAUAUCACUGGCAUUUUUUAUUAUACGACUUAUUUAAAAAUAGCAAUAAAAUUUACUUCCUACUUUAUCCUAAGGUUCUGAAGACCUUUCAAUGGUGUUCUUGGAGGAGAGUUUACAAUUUUGGUGUGUAUCAUGAUUGUAAAGAUACCCUGAUAUCUUUAUAAAAUAGAAGUAAAUUUAGAAAUUAAAAAAAACAAAACUUUCCUGUUCUCUCGGUCAAUCACUGACAGUAUGUAAAAUCAUUGCCUAGUUGAUAAAUUCAUUCAAGUCUUUCAUUUUAGUUCAAGGAGACUUUAGUUUCCUCCUUUUGGAUUAUAAAAUGGCAGUUACCUGGAUCCCUUUUGUAUAUACAAUUCAUGACUUACACAUACCAGUUUUGUACAUAUGUUGUAAAUAGCUACUAUUGUAAAAGAAAAAAUAAUUUUCACAGGAAUAUUUUCUGUGUAUAACAGAAAUGGCUUACUUUGAUGUCUUUGUUGAAAAUAUGUCCAUAACUAAUGUAAGAAUAUUCUAAAACUUUAUUUAAAAAUUUUAAAAGAACAUUUUUAUGGAUAAGCAAUCUCAAUAUUAUAAAAAUGACUUCUCUUUCCCAUGUAAAUGUAAAACUUCCCAUCAAAUUCUGAUAGAACUUAAUAUUAAUGGAUCUUGAUACAACAUAUAAAAAUCAUGUGAAAUACAAGGGACCAAAAAAUUGCAAAAAUAUUUUUGAAAAUGAAUAAAUAAAUUAGUGUUACUUAAGCCACAGUAUAUUAAGUCUUACAGCACCUGAAAGUCGUAUUGUGCAGAGACAGAUAAAUGGAAAGCUAAGCAAAAUAAUGAUUCCAGAAAUCAAUCAAUAAACAAACACAUAUACACAUAUAUUUGAUAUAUGACUAUUGCCAUUGUAGACUAACAGGAAAAAGAGAAGCAAUUCAGAAAAUAAUUAAAAAUUAGUUAUACAUAUGAAGAAACAUGAACUUAGAUUAAUAAUUCCUUCCUUAUAUUACAUACAAAAAUAAAUGCUAUAUUUAUUAGUCUACUAUGUAAACCAACAUUAGAAAGUCUUUAAAGAAAAUAUAAUAGUAUGUCUUUACAACACAAGAUAUGAAGAGCAUUCUAAAUAAAAACUCCAAAAGUGAAUCAUAAAAAUGAUUGAUAAUUUUGAUUAUAUUAACAUAAACAUUUAUUUCCUGAAAUAAACAUUCUUCCUGUGCAUGCACAUGCAUCUGUAAAUUUAAAAUAAAAACAAAUUCAGUACAAUAUUUAUUUGUAAUAAUACUAGAAAUCUUAUGUGAUAUUGUUCUACAAGUACUAGACAUUUUAUAUUAAGAAAGCAUUGCAAUAAGGUGUAUAAAUAUUGAUACAUGGGAAGAUAUAAGUUCCGUGUCUGUAGCUAAUAUGAGCAUAAAGCUGUAGAUCAUGAGAGAAUAAAGAAUAUUAGAAAACUGACACUGUUGAUAAGCCAAUUCUCUUUAAAUGUAAGACAGUCACAAAAUAAAACUUUUCUUGAAUUAUUGGAAUUGCAUAAUUUCUACUUAUAGAAAAUUAUUAAAUAUCUUCUGGAACAGUUAAGCAUUUAUGAUAGCAGGAGGUUUAUGAAAAAAUAAUUUUGAAGAGUCACUAGAUCUUUCAGAUAGAGUUAGCAUGCUUUACUUAUUAAAACUGGAUAAUAUUGUCACAAAAUAAACACAUUAAUCAAAAAGAUGUAUGUAGAUGAAUUUUAUGAUAAAGCUAGGAUUUCCAAUCAUUAAAGAAAUAAAGAUGAAUUGUUCAUUGAAUGGUUUUGAAAAAAUA
This 4494-nucleotide long non-coding RNA is filed under the name Homo sapiens (human). RNAcentral's name for it is "HSALNT0303778". Lineage: Eukaryota; Metazoa; Chordata; Mammalia; Primates; Hominidae. The record is from RNAcentral.